CCUGACUUUCCCCCCAGCAGCCAAACUCCACAACUGCCUCAGCACUGCCCCCCACCUCCCACCAGACUCAGCCUCACAGCAAUAACAAUAAAAAUGGUUUUAUUAUGUAUAAUUGUUUUAUAUUAUGUGCUUCAGUGUCCUUCAGAACUAAGGGAUGUAUUUGGUUUGCUAAAACUGAUUACAGACUAGAAAUAUCUAAAACCUACAACAUAUAAUAGUGUUAAGAUGACAUCUGUAUUCAGUCAUUUACCCAUUAUAUUUAUUAACUCUUUAAUACUUUCUGAAGGCAUAGAAUACUCCUGACAGACAGAAACUGUAUACUCAAAGCUCACAGUAAUUGACAACAUCUUGUAUAAAGUAAAUAUUAGCCCAAUUUUUUCCUGGCCAUUUCUUUUUUCAACAAAGUUCUCCAAACUCAUUUUAAGUCCAAGGGCUAUAUAUUUGGUUCCACUGGGUAUGUCUACACAUGUACUUUAAUGCACAGUAGCCUAUUUUACUGCAUAUUAAAGCAGUGUGUAAAAAAAACUGUGCUAUUAUGCUAAUGCACAGUAAAAUAGGCUACUGCACAUCAAGUGUCACCUGAAAAGCAUGUGCUUGUGCUACUGCACAUUAGGGAAGCCUAAUGCACAUUAAUUUAGUACCUGACAUUGGAGGUAAUGCAUUUAAUGCGUAUUAGGAAAAAUGCAUUCAUGCACAUGUAGACACACCCACUGUCUUUGUUUUUGACCACUUUUAAAGCCCAUCUAAGGAGCAAGUUGGGACUCUCUCAUAGAGGAAUAUUGACAUAUGGAAGGGGUCUCCCACCUCUCUAGGGAGUGCCCUAAAAUCUAGACUCUAUAGAAUAGAUUGGAUAAAGGCACUUUCUGCCUCCCUUCUUGAAGCUGUGCUACUGAGUGGCAAGAAAUGCAAAUGGAUAGAAUGAGGGGCAGAGAAAGUAAAAAAAA
This is a long non-coding RNA of Gavialis gangeticus (Gharial), 944 nucleotides long. RefSeq lists it as uncharacterized. The record is from RefSeq and is a predicted model, not a curated record. The transcript has 2 exons. Lineage: Eukaryota; Metazoa; Chordata; Crocodylia; Gavialidae.